AACACAACAAAAUUUUGAGCAAAGAGAACCUGGAAAUGCUUCUUGCUCAGCUAAACAGAAUGACGUGGUGGCCUUGGAAAAUGACACACUGCAGGCUAGCACUGGGGAAAGUACAAAUGAAGCAUCAGAAGGUGUUUGAAAUUGUGGGGAAAAUGAUGGAGAAACAGCUUCAAAAUGCUUACUCAUCUCCUUCAACUCUCCAUGCUGGAUAACAGGGAUAUACAUGUGUUGUAAAGAAAGAUAACACAGAGAAUGGCACAGGAGUGCAAGAGACGCUGUCUCUGGGGGCUUCCCCCAAAAGCUGGAGCCUGCUGCUGCUCAGAAUUUCUAUUGCUGUGCUAGGCUGGGACACAGUCCUGUGACUGGCAGAGCUUCCCAGAAAGGAGGACUGGUAAUAGAGCGAGUAAUGUCCAGGGGAGAUUGAAAGAGGAUGUGAAACUUCAGGAGUGGAAUCAAUGGACAGAUGCAACAAUGAUAAAAGGAAAUGUUCCGUGUACGCUCGUUUAGCAUGUACAGGGAUUUAACUAUUUGUUGGCCUUUUUAGAGGCUGUGCAAUAUGAUGCAGUGCCAUCGGAACUGAACCCAUGGCUGCAGCAGUUUUCUACAGACUUUUGAACCAUUUGCAUGCCCAAGUCUCUUCAAUAACAACAUUAGAGGGGCACAUCACAGCUGAAAAUCAGUGCUGAGACAUGGAAAGGGCUAUGACAGCAGCUGUUACAAGGCACAUCACAGCUCAGUGGCUGGAAGGAGAAGCUGAACUAAUUCAGGUUCUGCAUAAGAAAGUGCCAUAAGUUCCAGGCACAAGGAAGGAGCAGGAACAAAGGAGGUUCACCACAGGAACAGGAUAAUUAAAUGCUGAGAUAAUUUACCUGGUGAUACAUCUGUUGGCUUUGGUGCUGUUCCCCUUCCACAGCAGAAGACCAAGCCUGGUUGUUCACAGAGCCAGAGUGUGAGCUCAGAAAACUAAACAGGGAGAAAUUUGUACUUUUAAGUCAAUAUUUUAUGUCUAAAUUCAGCUUUUUCCUAAAUCAUCUAUUUACCUUCACUUCACUUCUGUAGCUCUUGUGGAGUGUGUUGCAGCAGGAUGAGUUGUUUUCUGUCUUGUUCAAGCUGCAGGUGAAAGUGGUGAGCUAAAUAG
Molecule: non-coding RNA, 1138 nt
Organism: Zonotrichia albicollis (white-throated sparrow)
Lineage: Eukaryota; Metazoa; Chordata; Aves; Passeriformes; Passerellidae
Source: RefSeq, a predicted model, not a curated record